RNAcentral lists this ribosomal RNA (988 nucleotides) under uncultured archaeon. RNAcentral's name for it is "bacterial SSU rRNA". It matches the Rfam family "Archaeal small subunit ribosomal RNA", at positions 1 to 999 of the family's 1478-position model. The record is from RNAcentral.
UCCGGUUGAUCCUGCCGGACCCGACUGCUAUCAGAGUGGGACUAAGCCAUGCGAGUUAACGCAGCAAUGCGUGGUAUACGGCUCAGUAACACGUAGUCAACAUGCCCAGGGGACGUGAAUAACCUCGGGAAACUGAGGAUAAACCGCGAUAGGCCAAGGUUUCUGGAAUGGAUCAUGGCUAAAACCUAUAUGGCCCCUGGAUUGGACUGCGGCCGAUCAGGCUGUUGGUGAGGUAAUGGCCCACCAAACCUGUAACCGGUACGGGCUCUGAGAGGAGGAGCCCGGAGAUGGGCACUGAGACAAGGGCCCAGGCCCUAUGGGGCGCAGCAGGCGCGAAACCUCUGCAAUAGGCGAAAGCUUGACAGGGUUACUCUGAGUGACGUCCGUUAAGGACGUCUUUUGGCACCUCUAAAAAUGGUGCAGAAUAAGGGGUGGGCAAGUCUGGUGUCAGCCGCCGCGGUAAUACCAGCACCCCGAGUGGUCGGGACGAUUAUUGGGCCUAAAGCAUCCGUAGCCGGUUCUGCAAGUCUUCCGUUAAAUCCACCUGCUCAACAGAUGGGCCGCGGAGGAUACUACAGGGCUAGGAGGCGGGAGAGGCAAGCGGUACUCAGUGGGUAGGGGUAAAAUCCUCUGAUCCACUGAAGACCACCAGUGGCGAAGGCGGCUUGCCAGAACGCGCUCGACGGUGAGGGAUGAAAGCUGGGGGAGCAAACCGGAUUAGAUACCCGGGUAGUCCCAGCUGUAAACGAUGCAGACUCGGUGAUGGGUUGGCUUUGGGCCAACCCAGUGCCGCAGGGAAGCCGUUAAGUCUGCCGCCUGGGGAGUACGGUCGCAAGACUGAAACUUAAAGGAAUUGGCGGGGGAGCACCACAAGGGGUGAAGCCUGCGGUUCAAUUGGAGUCAACGCCGGAAAUCUUACCGGGGGCGACAGCAGAGUGAAGGUCAAGCUGAAGACUUUACCAGACAAGCUGAGAGGUGGUGCAUGGCC